CGUUUAGGGGUAAACCUGAGAAACCCGAAAGGUCGAAGGGCGAAAUUCAGUGCGUCCGCUUCAGGCGACCGGCAGGGAUGAGCAGCGCGUUUGAGUCGUUCGCGGCAAGGCGCUCCCUCUGUCGGCUUCGGCCGGCUGCAGACGCGUGCACUUUUCGCCUGGUAGGACGUCGCGAUUCGUUGGGCGUCGGUCGACGGGGCGGGGUGGAGCCCAUCUGAUGUUCGUCGUCUCGGCGACAACUUCGGGUGGACCCCUGCUUCCUGGCCGGCUGCUCGACGGUAUCUGGAUAGGUCGGAGGCCGCUCCUCGCGAGCGUUCGGCUUGUAGCAAGCACGUCAGUGCAGGUGAUUCGCGGCCCUCGGGCUUGCUGUUACUUCCUGGCGCUCUGUUGGCUGCAAUGUUUUCGAACCGUGCCGCCCAUGACCAAUCAGCGACGCUAUAGCUUUGGGUACUUUCAGGACCCGUCUUGAAACACGGACCAAGGAGUCUAGCACGUGCGCAAGUCAUUGGGAAUUACUAUACCUAAAGGCGCAAUGAAAGUAAAGAUUUCUGCUUGCAGUUAUCUAGGGAAGACGAGUGGUCUCUCGGGACCGCUCUGCAUUCCCGGGGCGCCUCGUGCUCACUGCGAGCUGAGGCGCACCAUGAGCGUACGCGCUGGGACCCGAAAGAUGGUGAACUAUGCCUGGU
Molecule: ribosomal RNA, 686 nt
Filed under: Diplotrichus sp. 1 BHJ-2021b
Lineage: Eukaryota; Metazoa; Arthropoda; Insecta; Coleoptera; Curculionidae
Description: partial large subunit ribosomal RNA
Rfam family: Eukaryotic large subunit ribosomal RNA
Source: RNAcentral